GUUGUAUGGUUAAGUGACUAAGCGUACAUGGUGGAUGCCUUGGCAGUCAGAGGCGAUGAAGGACGUACUAACCUGCGAUAAGCUGUGAGAAGUCGGUAAGAGACGCUAUUACUCACAGAUUUCCGAAUGGGGAAACCCACCCGAGAUAAC
Molecule: ribosomal RNA, 150 nt
Filed under: Aeromonas veronii
Lineage: Bacteria; Pseudomonadati; Pseudomonadota; Gammaproteobacteria; Aeromonadales; Aeromonadaceae
Description: partial 23S ribosomal RNA
Rfam family: Bacterial large subunit ribosomal RNA
Source: RNAcentral